This 72-nucleotide transfer RNA is filed under the name Diutina rugosa. RNAcentral's name for it is "Candida rugosa tRNA". It matches the Rfam family "tRNA". Rfam says of the family: Transfer RNA (tRNA) molecules are approximately 80 nucleotides in length. Their secondary structure includes four short double-helical elements and three loops (D, anti-codon, and T loops). RNAcentral also lists the same sequence under 1 other name. The record is from Rfam by way of RNAcentral. Lineage: Eukaryota; Fungi; Ascomycota; Pichiomycetes; Serinales; Debaryomycetaceae.
GGCUGCGUGGUCUAGUGGUAUGACGUUUCCUUCACACGGAAAAGAUCCCGAGUUCGAUCCUCGGCGCGGUCA